ACUCUCUUAGGUAGAAUCUACACUAAGAUUGGAACAAACUAGCAUGGACCCUGGGCAAGAAUGGCAUAAAUUUGUGAACUCUCCCAUCAUUUU
Molecule: small nuclear RNA, 93 nt
Filed under: Mesocricetus auratus (golden hamster)
Lineage: Eukaryota; Metazoa; Chordata; Mammalia; Rodentia; Cricetidae
Source: RNAcentral